Long non-coding RNA from Dioscorea cayenensis subsp. rotundata (Guinea yam), 1494 nucleotides. RefSeq lists it as uncharacterized. The record is from RefSeq and is a predicted model, not a curated record. The transcript has 4 exons. NCBI's taxonomy places the organism in Eukaryota, Viridiplantae, Streptophyta, Magnoliopsida, Dioscoreales, Dioscoreaceae.
UCCUUGUCUUCCACCUCUUCGAUCUAUCUUCGCCACUCUCCGCCUUCCACUCUCAGUCUCGUGUUUGGAGAUCUGAAGCUCUCCAUCAAUGGCGUCUCCCUGGAUCCUCCCUUCUUCUCUUAUUCAGAAGCUCGUCGCCUUCAAAGACCCCGCCCCGAUUCAUCCGAUCUCAUCCUCCUCACCUCUCGACUCCUUCACCUCCGAUCCCAUCUUCUCCGCCUUCCUCUAGCCGGACUUCGACUAAGCCAGCUUCUCCUCCAAGGCCCUUAGCUCCGAAUCCGUGACUGCUCGCACGAAGUCCCUCCAUAUAUCCAUCUGCCUCCUCUACUGGCAUCUCCGAUCGGAGAAUUAUGGAGAAUGAUAUAUUCAAGGAAUACUGGAGAACAAGAAAAAGAGUUCAGAUAUUUUAGUAUGCAUGUUUGAACUGGAGCCUUGCACUUUGUUUGCUCCUCAUGGUGAUGCUUGUCGAAGUAGAGAAACAUCAUCAAAUUCCAGUGAUGAAUAUGAUGACCAGGCUUCCUUUUCUUCUCCCCUGCUUUAGAAUGAGAAUAUUCAGUAGUAGAGAAUGCUGACAAAGAAUUAAGUGGUGGGGAAAAAUCAUCCUUCACGACCAAGGUUUGAUGUUGAUAAGAAGAUGAAGUACUAGAAAAAGGUAGAUGCUAAACCAUGUGUUAGUUAUGGCUUGUGAUUGUUCCAAAGCUUGGUCAUAAUCAUCUGUUAAAAUGUUAUAUAAUUUGAAGGCUAGUUCUUAUAACAAGGAGAUUGGCAUGACUCUUGUUGUCCCAGGGCUCUACAUAAGAAGGAUCCCAAGUCAAAAGGACCAACAAGGAUGCAGUUCUUCCUUAUAUUCUUUGAGGCGCGCUUUGCUUACUAUGCUCUACAUGAGAAAGAUAGUAGAUAUUCCAAGAUUGCUAAUGAUUAUCAGUCACUUGAACAGGUAUUAGAGUUUUGUGAUCGUUUUCCACUGGUUGGUGCUUAGUGAUUAGUAAUUUUGUGCCCGAAUUGUUGUUAUCAACAUAUUGGAUGUUUUCUUAAACUAUUAUAGUGGUGAUUUGUUUUGCUGCCAUUAAGGUCUAAUUUGUUAGUAUUGUUGUGGUGUUCUUUCUUAAAAUCAGAGGAACUUGGGAUUUACUGGCCGUCAUAAAGAACGUAUUCAUCUUCAUGCUUAUUUUUCAUCUAAACACAACAUAAACUGCACUUUAAUAUUUUUAGUGCAGAUCAUAAAUGGAUUGCAAGCAGACUACCAAGACACCAGAGAAGGAUAUAUACCUCAAAAACUGUUUUCAUGGUAGACUUAGAAGAAAACAGUUAGGGCCUUGCUGUGGGGUUAUGUUUAUGUGUGUAUAUAUAUAGGAAUGAAUGUGAUAAUCCAAUACAAAAUGUAAUAAUAAUCCAAAAUAGUAAAAAAUGAAUGUGAUGUUUUGGAUUAUUACAUCAGAUACUUUUAUAACUUUCUAUUGUUACAUUAGAUGUUGAAACUUAUAUUUUGUAUUA